Molecule: ribosomal RNA, 433 nt
Filed under: uncultured bacterium
Lineage: Bacteria
Description: bacterial LSU rRNA
Rfam family: Bacterial large subunit ribosomal RNA
Source: RNAcentral
UCGUCAUCGUAGGGUUAGUCGGGUCCUAAGCCGAGUCCGAAAGGGGUAGGCGAUGGCAAAUAGGUUAAUAUUCCUAUACCAACAUUAGUGUGCGAUGGAGGGACGCAUAGGGUUAGGUGAGCCAACUGAUGGAAUAGUUGGUCGAAAGGUGUAAGUUGGGAGAGAGGCAAAUCCGCUCCUGUAUCACAAGCCUGACAGGCUCUUUGAAGUCUUCGGAUGGAAGAGAGAAUCACUGAUACCGUCGUGCCAAGAAAAGCUUCUAAGUUUAGCUAAUGUUGCCCGUACCGCAAACCGACACAGGUAGAUGAGAUGAGUAUUCUAAGGCGCGUGAAAGAACUCUGGUUAAGGAACUCUGCAAACUAGCACCGUAAGUUCGCGAUAAGGUGUGCCUACGCAAGUAGGUCUCAGCAAAGAGUCCCUCCCGACUGUUUAC